AACGAACGCUGGCGGCGUGCCUAACACAUGCAAGUCGAGCGAGAAAGGGGAGCAAUCCCUGAGUAAAGCGGCAGACGGGUGAGUAACACGUGGGUAAUCUGCCCUCGAGCGGGGAAUAACAUCUCGAAAGAGGUGCUAAUACCGCAUAACAUCCAGGGGCCUGAGGGCUUUUGGAUCAAAGGUGGGGAUCUUCGGACCUACCACUCGAGGAGGAGCCCGCGCCUGAUUAGCUAGUUGGUGGGGUAAUGGCCUACCAAGGCGACGAUCAGUAGCCGGCCUGAGAGGGUGAACGGGCCACACUGGAACUGAGACACGGUCCAGACUCCUACGGGAGGCAGCAGGUGGGGAAUAUUGGACAAUGGGCGCAAGCCUGAUCCAGCCAUGCCGCGUGUGU
This 394-nucleotide ribosomal RNA is filed under the name uncultured bacterium. RNAcentral describes it as "bacterial SSU rRNA". It matches the Rfam family "Bacterial small subunit ribosomal RNA", at positions 29 to 406 of the family's 1533-position model. The record is from RNAcentral.